GAAAGGUUGCCUUCAAACUAUGGUUAGCUCUCAAUAUCAUCUCCUCUAAGUUUUUUGGCAUCUUGUUCAGUAUAGUUCCUGAAAAUUGAUUUUUCUCCUAGUUUAUGACUACUAAGAUCUUUGACAAUAGAAAAUUACCACAUAGCUUAUUUCUCCACACAUUAAUAUUAUUCCAAAUGUUCCAAGUUUUGCCAACUAAGUGGAAUUGAUCCUGAGAAGGAGUUCUCAGACAAAUUUGCCAACUAUGUGGAAUUAAUCCUGAGAAAGAGUUCUGAGAUAAAUUCACGCGUACAACCAUUGGCGAUAUGGUUGGUAGUUUUCCUGUGAAAUUUCUAAGGUUUGACAAUGUUGAUGGACAAUGAACAAGAUCUUCUCUAUGGUGGUACAACUUUAGAGGCAAGGUAAUUUUAACACUACUGAUGAAUCCAAAGCAUUCAUUAUUGUUGUAUAAUUCAAGAAACCUGGAUUGAAGCAAGGAAAAGGUAAUUUUGUUCUAAACAUGCAUGAACUAUCAUUGAUUCUGCUAAUUUUGUCAUUUAAUUCUCUUUAAAUCAUUAUCCAAAUUGUGAAUUGUCUUAGGUUGCAAAGUCUCAUUUGAUGGUUUCAAGUGUUUUGUCCAGGACCAAAAAUCACUGAAUAUGAUUUUUGUUCUGUUGAAAACUCAGAAGGAUAAUAAGAUCCAGCUUUCAAUGAUAAGAAUGUAUGUGCCUCUAAUAACCUGACCUAAACUAUAGUGUUAUUUGGUUUUAGUCCCUAUAAUUUUUUUUUUGUUUUGGUUUAGUCCCUACAAAUUUAAAAAUUGUUGCUUUUAACCUCUGACAUCCUAUGUGAUCCAAUAUAAUCACGCCAUGUGGCCCAAUAAGCUGAACGUUAUGGACUAAAAAUCAACAGUUUAAAAUUUAAAGCGACUGAAUCCAAACCAAAAAAUUUACAAGGAUUAAAACCAAAAAUUUCUAUAAUUGUAGGGACUAAAAUCGUAUUUAAACAUAUUUGAGAAUGAUCAGAGAAAUGGCCUUUUCUUUCAUUAGUUUACUGUUUCAUGCAAACCAUGAAAACUGCUUAAGCAUAUUAUCUAGAAAAUUUAUUAAUCUACUAAAUUUUCAUGUUUCAAAAUUGUAAGUUUUUUGAGCUUUGGGGCUUUCCCUAACCUCGACGAUCUUCUGAAACCUAACUCACCUAGCAUCAAAAGGAAUUGUAAAAGACAAAUCAUGAAAAUUAAUAAUAGACCUAUAACCAAUUGCAAACACAAAAUAUUCACAAAUCUCUCUGCAUCAUUAACUAAUAAUAUCCACAAAUAUAUAACCCUACACUUUUGUGCAAGGAGGAGUGUUUAGUAUUUUACUUAUAGAAUAUGAACUCUUAGCCUAAUGCCUUAAAGAAGAAUUUGGUGUCCACAAUAAAGUCUCAAAUAAAGGUAUUAGAUUCAAAAACUUCUAAUAUACAUGACAUGACAAUGAAAGAAACAAUGCAUUAUUAAAACUAAAAGUAGCAAAUAUGUUCUUCUUCAAAAGAGUACAAAAGGGAAUAUAAAUAAUACAUUAUGUAUUUUACAGAUAUCUUGAAAGAGCAUAAAGGGGAGUAAUUACAAGAAUGACCAUGUAACUCAAAUCCUUGAAGGGAUAAGAGGAAUAUUGUUCUGUAAGUAUGCACUGGCAGCAGCAACUCCACUUCCAAGCUUGACUGGAUAACCCACAUCUUUGAGUAUCAUCUCCACACCAGCAAGACAUCCCAACAGUUGCAACUGAAAAAUGUUUAAAGAAUUAACAAUUUCAAUGGCGUAAUGCUUUUGUAAUAAUUUGAUAUUACCUAACAGAAUAAACAUUAUCUAGCAUACUUGAAAGAACGGGACCUUGAUGAUAUGCUCAUCAAACCUAUGAAACACAGACACAGACACCAGAUACAACACUGAUAUGUCAUAUGUAGACAUCGGUAAUGAUUUAAGAAAAGACGCCAGCAAUUUAAAGUAUCGUGCUAUUCAGCACCGGACAAUGUGUUUUGUCGCACUAUUAUAUUAUCCAUGAAUAUGCUAAUCAGCUAUGAAACACCUACACAAACACCAAACACAUACUGGCACCGACACAUAAACUCUGGGAAAUCAACAUUACCUCAUUCAAGUUGCCAAGAUGACCAAUUCUGAAAACCUUUCCAGCAACUUUGUUUAGUCCCAAACCUAAGCUCAAAUUGUAUCUCUUCCACCCCCUUCUAACGAUUUCAGCACCGUCAAUGUAAGGAGGAACAACAACAGCUGUCACAGUGUCACUGAACCACUCUUCCUCUUGAGUGCAGUUCUUCAAGCCCCAUGCCUCCACAGCAAGUCUGUAUUUAGCAUAUUGUCAAUCGCAUAUCAUGAAAAUAACAUUUUGUUCAAAUUUUGCUAUCUUAUAACCUUUAUUUGACAACACUUUGUAAAAUAUCGUAUUGCAAAACAAUAGUAAUUUGUUCAAAUUCUCCUACGUGAUAGGAGCUAUUUGACAAAACUGAUUUUGCUCUCUUGUAAAAAAUUAGCAUUUUCUUGUUGAAGUGCUUGACAAGAAAAUUAUGUCUUACCUGGUUGCUUUACCUAAACGAGCAUGUCUUUCGAUAAUAUUUUCAAGUCCUUCCUCGAAAAUCAGAUCAAGAGCUGCUCUAAGACCAUAGAGAAGCUGAAUGGAAGGAGUGUAAGGCCAAUAAGUUCCCAUUUUGUAGAAUUUCAGGUAGUCACUCCAAUCAAAGAAAACUCUAAGUGAUUUAGCAGAUUUUGAAGCUUCAAUAGCUUUAGGACUUGCAACCACAAAUCCUAUCCCAGUAGGAAGGGAAAGGGCUUUCUGAGAACCAGUUAUGGCCACAUCUACUCCCCAUUCGUCCAUACGGAAAUCAAGAGCACAGAUGGACGACACUCCAUCGACAAGGAGGAGGGCUGGAUGUUGGUAUGCAUCUGAGUGUCCAAACUACAAUGUGAGUGCCAUUUCAUAAAGACAAUAUAAGUAAAGAAAAAACAAGAACAUCGAAAAUCCAAAGGUUUGGUGACUGCAAAAUCAUUUUAUACAUUUUUUCAUCAAAGAAUAACAAAUUUUGUGGUUAUGCAAGUUCUGUAGGAUCCAUGAGUGUAAGGAUUUUUCUUGCUUACCAAGAAUUUGUCUAACUUUGGCCAAGUUAUUGGUGACGCCAGUUGCUGUCUCAUUGUGAACAAUGCAAAUAGCCUUUAUAGUGUGUGCAGAGUCUGAAGCAAGUUUUGAUUCCAGAACGUCGAGAUCAGCACCACGGCCCCAUUCACUUUCCACAACAUCAACAUUAAAUUUAAGGCGUUGCUGCUGAUCAAUCCAAAGCAAACUGAAUUGGC
Molecule: long non-coding RNA, 3319 nt
Filed under: Trifolium pratense (red clover)
Lineage: Eukaryota; Viridiplantae; Streptophyta; Magnoliopsida; Fabales; Fabaceae
Description: long non-coding RNA (TPRA_LNC009446)
Source: RNAcentral